AAACUCCGAAUACCUUAUAUGUAAUCACAGCAGUCAGGCGGCGAGUGAUAAAAUCCGUCGUCAAGAGGGAAACAACCCAGACUACCAGCUAAGGUCCCUAAAUCUUACUUAAGUGGAAAACGAUGUGAAGUUACUUAAACAACCAGGAGGUUGGCUUAGAAGCAGCCAUCCUUUAAAGAAAGCGUAAUAGCUCACUGGUCUAGUGAUUUUGCGCGGAAAAUAUAACGGGGCUAAAGUAAGUACCGAAGCUGUAGACUUAGUUUACUAAGUGGUAGGAGAGCGUUCUAUUUGCGUCGAAGGUAUACCGGUAAGGAGUGCUGGAGCGAAUAGAAGUGAGCAUGCAGGCAUGAGUAGCGAUAAUUAAUGUGAGAAUCAUUAACGCCGUAAACCCAAGGUUUCCUACGCGAUGCUCGUCAUCGUAGGGUUAGUCGGGUCCUAAGUCGAGUCCGAAAGGGGUAGACGAUGGCAAAUUGGUUAAUAUUCCAAUACCAACAUUAGUGUGCGAUGGAAGGACGCUUAGGGCUAAGGGGGCUAGCGGAUGGAAGUGCUAGUCUAAGGUCGUA
Molecule: ribosomal RNA, 563 nt
Filed under: Campylobacter coli
Lineage: Bacteria; Pseudomonadati; Campylobacterota; Epsilonproteobacteria; Campylobacterales; Campylobacteraceae
Description: partial 23S ribosomal RNA
Rfam family: Bacterial large subunit ribosomal RNA
Source: RNAcentral